GUCAGCACCCCGCACUGAAGUGACGGGGCUUCGUGCCUCUAACUUCAGUUAGUUGACCAGCCUAAGUCUUAACUGACUACGUUUUUUGAGUCAUGACACCCUGUUGGAUGCGAAGCUAGUCCCUGGCUCUGUC
This 133-nucleotide small RNA is filed under the name Planktothrix agardhii. RNAcentral's name for it is "HEARO". It matches the Rfam family "HNH endonuclease-associated RNA and ORF (HEARO) RNA", at positions 1 to 132 of the family's 211-position model. RNAcentral also lists the same sequence under 2 other names. Lineage: Bacteria; Bacillati; Cyanobacteriota; Cyanophyceae; Oscillatoriales; Microcoleaceae. The record is from RNAcentral.